ACCAAAACAAGAUCAGAAUCAAAUUUGUACUUCAGGCAGAAAGGAAAGACUUGACCUCUCACCUGGAAAAUACAAGAUAUUCUGUAAGGGAAAAUGUAGGAGGAAAGGAGGCAGGAAAGAAGUUGGAAUAAGAAGAGCUUUAUGAAUCUACAGCCAAGCAAUGCAUAUGUUUGCAUUUCUGUUUAGAAUAUCAAAGCAAAAAUUGUUCCAGACAAAGAAAGGUAAGGAAUACCAUAUUCAAGGUUAUUGCAACAGAGUCCAGAAUGCAGUCUAAACUCAACUCCACUGAAACAGCCACAAUCUAAAGAGUUAGUAAACUUGGGGUGGGAAAUUGUAGGCCAU
Molecule: long non-coding RNA, 342 nt
Organism: Phyllostomus discolor (pale spear-nosed bat)
Lineage: Eukaryota; Metazoa; Chordata; Mammalia; Chiroptera; Phyllostomidae
Exons: 3
Source: RefSeq, a predicted model, not a curated record